CCCUAGCCCGGAUUGCAGUGGAAAUCCUUUUUUGAAAAAAAAGAUUGCAACGAAAAGCCGGAAAUUGC
Chryseobacterium sp. IHB B 17019 is the source of this 68-nucleotide non-coding RNA. Lineage: Bacteria; Pseudomonadati; Bacteroidota; Flavobacteriia; Flavobacteriales; Weeksellaceae. The record is from Rfam.